AUUGAACGCUGGCGGCAUGCUUUACACAUGCAAGUCGAACGGUAACAGGUUAAGCUGACGAGUGGCGAACGGGUGAGUAACGCAUCGGAACGUGCCCGGUCGUGGGGGAUAACGCAGCGAAAGUUGCGCUAAUACCGCAUACGAUCUGAGGAUGAAAGCGGGGGACCGUAAGGCCUCGCGCGAUCGGAGCGGCCGAUGUCAGAUUAGGUAGUUGGUGGGGUAAAGGCUCACCAAGCCAACGAUCUGUAGCUGGUCUGAGAGGACGACCAGCCACACUGGGACUGAGACACGGCCCAGACUCCUACGGGAGGCAGCAGUGGGGAAUUUUGGACAAUGGGCGAAAGCCUGAUCCAGCAAUGCCGCGUGCAGGAAGAAGGCCUUCGGGUUGUAAACUGCUUUUGUACGGAGCGAAAAGGUCUCCUCUAAUACAGGGGGCUCAUGACGGUACCGUAAGAAUAAGCACCGGCUAACUACGUGCCAGCCGCCGCUGUAA
Molecule: ribosomal RNA, 493 nt
Filed under: uncultured bacterium
Lineage: Bacteria
Description: partial 16S ribosomal RNA
Rfam family: Bacterial small subunit ribosomal RNA
Source: RNAcentral